ACACGUGUGUGGACGCAGCUCUGUGGCUGUCGCCUGGCGGGCGGAGGCGGGCGGGCACCAGGCUGGUCCGGUUGCACUGGCUCCGUGAGGUCCAGGCAGCCUGGCCUGGCGGGGAGCAGGGAUGGAGGCAGGACAGGCCCCGCCUGGCACUCUUUUGGAGAAAGUCAGAGUCUAAGGCAGAGGGGGGAGGGUCCAGGAGCACGCCUGCCCGGGUGCACCAGAGGGUGCCUGGCACUUCCAGUGUGGCUAGCACACGCCAGUGGGCACAGGAGCUGGCGCUUGUCACACAGCACACUGGCCCUGGCCACAGCUGAGUGACCUUGGCCCCAUCCCCCAGCCUCUCUGAGCUGUCACCCACUGGUGGGGCUCCUUCAGAACACAGUGCGUGCCGGACUGUUCCACACCAUUGUCCACACGGUUGCUGAGUACCGAGCCCGGACUCAGGCACCAGGCCUCCCGCAUUUUCCUGGCUUUGGUGGGGUGAAGUGGCCUCGUGCUUCUGGCCAGAGGUUCCCACCUGCAGAUACUUACAGGAUUAGCGUGAGGAUUAAAUGAGGUAACAAAGGGCAGGGCCUGGCACUAGGCCAGCGUGGGGUAAGCUUAGCUGCCGCUGCUUCUGGACUUCCCCCCACCAGCGGGGGAGGUGUGCCCGGAUGGAGCCCUGCACAGUGGGUGGAGCAGGAGGCAGAGCAGAACGUGCCCCUGGGGAGGCACCCCGCCCGCCCCCGCCCACCGAGCUGGCCCCAGCCUCCACAGCUGUUGAAAGGGUUCAGACCAGGAACAGCGUGCCCAAUCCCGAGUGAUGUCAGGGGAGGCCGGAUCUCAGCCUCAGUCUGCAGAGGAGCUGGGAGGGGCCUAGGGGCCACACCUAUUUGGAAGAUGUCUAUUUGGACACCACCUUAGGGCAUAUUUUUCACUUCAAGGUAAAGGGUUGGAAGAGUCUCCCUCUUUCUUCCCACCCUCGUUACCUGUAUGUAAACUAUACAAACUUCCUCUUGCUUCCUUCCUGCCUGCUUGCCUGCCUUCUUUCCUUCCCAAAAUAUUUGUGACCACUUAUAGGAAAACACCUACAGUAAAAUAAACAAUAAAACAUCAGGAUCAGGAAAAGCACAAUGUAGUAUAGGAUGUCAUGGCCUGGGAGGGGGAUAGAAUGGAACAGAGAUAGGCAGGGUCCUGGGGUCCUUCCGCAGAGAUGAAAAGUGCUGAGCUUCCUAGCAGCCAAGGGAAAAAGGGAAACCCAGCUGCCGAGGUCAUGCUCGCUGUGAUAGGAGGCCAUCUUAUCUUACAAUGGCCACAGUUGUCCUUGCUGCUGGGUCAGAGUGUUUGCGACCUGGAUGGAUGGGUGGGUGAGGAUGAGAGGCCUUUCAGGGACAGGCCUUGGGCCUGGCUUUAGGGAAACAGGGCAGACAGUGAGGACUGAGGCUUUCUCUUGGGUGGUGAUGCAGGCUGGCUGUGGGAACAGAGAGAGGAAAGCUCACCCCCGGAGUGAGUCAGCAGCCGCCUGUCCCUCUGUAGACCCUGGGACAGACCUCCCUGGGCGGGCACCUCGGAGGCCAGGCCAGGCAGGGUGAGCCCCUGGGCGCCUUUCCCACUAACUGCAGAAGGAUCUUCCUGUGUCUUGUUCUGAGCCGUGGUUUCCGGGGAUGGGCGCUCUGGAAACCUCAGGGCUUGUUGACAGGAUGCAGUGGGCCCAGGCCUGGGAGGCCCCACCGUGCUCUGCCGGGGCUCACCCCUCUGAGCAGGAGCAUCCUAGCCUCAUGGAGCCCUGCAGACGGGCCUCUCCACGUCUCGGUCUCCUCAUCUACAGGGCGGGGAUGAGGGCCGGCUGGGCUCGCGGUCAGUGCCCACCGAGUGUUUGUGGGCACUGCUGGCCAUGUGGUGGCGAUGAGCAGGCCUGUGGUGCGGGGCUGGUGUGCACACUGGCACGGUGGCUGCCUGGCCGUCAGUGACAGAGGACCCGCUCAGGGUGGGCGUGGACCGUAAUUGGCGCUGGGCUUGCCCCAAACCCUCGCUUAGCACCCGUAAGUAUAGGGCGCCCUGUGGUUAUCCGGGGAGGAUGGGCCCUGGGAGCUCCAGGCUCCAGGCGACGGUCUCUGCUCUCCAGAACCCCGCCCCGUUUUGCUGGGGGCUCCCGAGAGGGCGAAGGCCACUCCCUGAGACGACAGACCUACUGACAGACAGAGCAGGCCCUCGGUGGGGUCCCAGGCCCCUCCGCUGCCAGGGCCGACCCGAGUCAGCAGGUCUGCAGCCCGAGGCGGGGUUGGCGGCGGCCGCAGGACAAAUUGGAGGGUUGUGAUCGGACAGCACAUAGCUUUCCACGUGCGUCUUCGGAUUCCCCUUCGUGUGCGCCUGUUGCCCUGGCUGGGGCUGCUCACAUCUGGAACAGCGCGAGGCGUGUGGGGAGCGGCUGCCGGCCGGCCCUGGCCCUCUGCCUGGGGCUUCCGCGGCUGCAGCCUGGAGGCUAGGGGCACAGUCUCUGGAACCUGGGCCUCAGGUCUCAGAGGGGCUCCGCGGGCUUGGAACCGUCUCCUGGACAGAACUCCAAGGAGCCGGGCACAGGGACGUCAGAACUGCCCACGGGAGGUGGUAAGAUGAGCGUUCGGGGGCCAGUUCCUAAGCAUCUCGAGCCGGGCGGGCUUCGUGGGGAGACCCUCAAUGGGUCCUGUUGGCUUGGCAGCCAGCGAUCCUCGUCCCCUCCCCUCACCCGAAGGAGUCAGAGUCCGGAAGCAGAUGACAAAGCCAGUGGAGCCAGCUUAGCAGUCAGGCCGAGCUGAGGUUGGAACCGGCUCAGCCCUUCCUACAGGAGAAGUGACUGUUCUGAGAUUAAAUGAGUGGCCAGGACUCCUUGAGGCUGGGGAUGGGGUCUCCAGUCCGGUCCUCACCUCCUCUGGACCCGGCCGCUCUCUGGGCACGAGAGCCAAGUCCAGCUCUGGCGGGAGGUCCUGGGCCGGGCAGGGUGGAGUGCGCCCUCACCUCCCUGCUCUGGGUGCUGCGCGGACUCUCGUGGCUGCUCCCCCUCACAGGUAGGGCUGAGGGGAACCUGCCCCGCCCCCACGCGUGGCCCCGUGGCCUGCGCCCCGCGGAGUCUCGGCGCAGGAGUUGAAGACUCUUCAGUGCCCGGCACCGCGCGUGCACGCUCACACCCGCCGUGGAAGGGGCCCCGUUCCACCGGGAGAGGAGGAGCCUGGGCCCACGGGCCAGUUACUAGUUAUAGGGUCCCUGUGAGGGUCAUCGGUGAGGCCCUUCUCCGUGGGGGUGGCACUUGCCCUGGGAGAACCAGGCAGGGGCAUCUGUGGGUACAAGCAACCCAGCAGGUGGUGACAAAGGCUGAGCACCCGCUGUGCGCCAGGCCCAGGGGUCCGGCAGCGAGUGUGCGCACAGCCAGGCCUCACGGGGCUGGCGUUCAGGCGAGAGACGGACAGUAAGCGAAACAGGCGGACGAAGGUGUCUUCUGACAGGGAUCCGCGGAAGAGGACGGAGCUGGGCGGAGUGACAGAGGGACCGCGCAGGAGGGCCACGUGGCCUGGGUGGUCCUUCCAGAAAAGCCUCUCCCUGGUGUCCUGCCGCUGCCGAGCGGGUCUGUCCGUACAGUGAGAUGCGAGGCAGCCGUGAAAAGGAGUGAGGCACUGGUCCAUGCUAUGACAGGUGCGAACCUUGACGACACCAGGCUACGUGAAUGAGCCGGUCAUGAAAGGCCACGGAGUGUGUGGUCCCGUUUACGUGACUGUCCGCAAGAGGCAGGUCCACAGACACAGGAAGCAGGCUGGUGCUUGUCCAGGCUGGGGCGUGGUGCCCACCGUGACGGCUUCACGGGGACAGGGUUUCUUUCUGGGACGAUGAAAGUGUUCCAAACUUAGAUUGUGGGUGAUGUCUGCACAACUUUGGAUAUGCUGGGAUUACCGAGUUGCACACUUUAAAUGGGUGAAUCUUAUGGAAUGUGAGUGAUACCUCAAUAAAACCAUUUAAAAACAAA
Vicugna pacos (alpaca) is the source of this 3973-nucleotide non-coding RNA. NCBI's taxonomy places the organism in Eukaryota, Metazoa, Chordata, Mammalia, Artiodactyla, Camelidae. The record is from RefSeq and is a predicted model, not a curated record.